Molecule: long non-coding RNA, 756 nt
Filed under: Elaeis guineensis (African oil palm)
Lineage: Eukaryota; Viridiplantae; Streptophyta; Magnoliopsida; Arecales; Arecaceae
Description: long non-coding RNA (EGUI_LNC081435)
Source: RNAcentral
CCAUCUUUAAUCUAACCAUAGGUCUAACCCAAUUAAUGGACCUAAUUCCCACUAACCCAUUAACCCAAUAUGUUAUGAUUUGUGUCUUAGGUUCUUCAAUUCACAAUCCUAGAACCUAAUCAAACAACUUCUUAAUUCUUAAUUAAGUUUUGGGCUGAGGGUUGGGUUUGGCUUUUCAAAAAAUAAUUUUCAUAUAUGUAAAAUAAUUUUACAAUAUGAUUCUACCAACCAUAUUGCAUGUUUGAUUCAUAAUCAAGAUACAAGUAAAAUAAACAUGAAACUACUUUAGAUCUAAUCUAAACAGGUUCAUGUAAUUGAAACAAUUUCAACUUUAAACAAUUUUUUUGCACAAAGAUUAUUAACAAAGAGAUUUUAUUUUAGAUUUAAACAUCUUUUAAGUCUAGUAAAUCAUAAAUUUAAUCUAGAUCAUAUCUAACAAAUUUAUGAUUAAAGAUAGAUCUACACAAAUUAGGACAACCUUUGCACUGUAAGGGGUAAACCUUACAGCAGGACAACCUUGCAGUUUGUGAUUGAUCUAAAAUUUUAAUUUCAGAUUUAAUAAUCAGAUUAUAAAUUAAAUUUAAUCUAAAAAAUAAUCUAAGCAUAUAUAAAUAAUCAUGUAAUAAAGAACCUAGGCUCUGAUACCAAUUGAAGGAACCAGAUCUAGGGUUUCAGGGUUAGAUCUUGAAACUUUAUCAAGAUCAUACAGCGGAAGACUAAAAUAAAUCAAAAUUUAUUUUUUAAAACUAGAGAAUC